AUUGUCAGUAGCCAACGUCUUAUACUCGGUAUUUUGCACAUACGGCUGCCCUACUGUUAUCCUCAGUGACCAAGGAAGAGAAUUUGUCAAUAAAGUUACUGAGGCACUCUUUAAAAGAACAAACACACAGCAUAGAAUCACUUCCGCCUAUCAUCCUCAAACUAAUGGCCUCACGGAGCGAUUCAAUCAGACAAUCUGUCGUUCUCUCAGCAAGUUAGUGAAUGAAGCACACAAUGAUUGGGAUACAAAGCUAGAAACUAUUCUGUUUGCAUACCGAGUGUCGAAACACCGAUCAACCGGCUAUUUGCCAUGCAUUCUUCAAGAUGUUUCGUCGUGAAGCUCGGCUGCCUAUAGAAGCAGAUGUAUAGAGCAAAACGAAAUAGACACUGUUGUGACCAGUGAAGAUAUAGAUACAGAGACAACUGCAGAUGCUUUUAUUGAGAAAAUGCUCAAGAGGCAAGAAGAUAUAAAGAGCAUAGCUGGUGAAAACAUAAAAAAAUCUCAAAAAAAGCAAAAGGAGUGCUAUGAUAAACGGCAUUCACCGGAGGUAUAUAAUUAUACAGCCCUAUAUAUUUAUAC
Long non-coding RNA from Halichondria panicea, 579 nucleotides. RefSeq lists it as uncharacterized. The record is from RefSeq and is a predicted model, not a curated record. Lineage: Eukaryota; Metazoa; Porifera; Demospongiae; Suberitida; Halichondriidae. The transcript has 3 exons.